GCGUGCUUAACACAUGCAAGUCGAACGAGAACGGAACUAGCUUGCUAGUUUGUCAGCUAAGUGGCGCACGGGUGAGUAAUAUAUAGUUAACCUGCCUUCAAGAAGGGAAUAAUUGUUGGAAACGACUUGUAAGACCCUAUAUGCCUUUAUCACAUAAGUGAGCAAGGGAAAUAUUUAUAGCUUGAAGAUGGGACUGUACGGUAUCAGAUUGUUGGUGAGGUAAUGGCUCACCAAGUCUAUGACGCCUAACUGGUUUGAGAGGAUGAUCAGUCACACUGGAACUGAGACACGGUCCAGACUCCUACGGGAGGCAGCAGUGGGGAAUAUUGCACAAUGGACGAAAGUCUGAUGCAGCAACGCCGCGUGGAGGAUGACACAUUUCGGUGCGUAAACUCCUUUUAUAUAAGAAGAUAAUGACGGUAUUAUAUGAAUAAGCACCGGCUAACUCCGUGCCAGCAGCCGCGGUAAUACGGGGGGUGCAAGCGUUACUCGGAAUCACUGGGCGUAAAGAGCAUGUAGGCGGGUAUUUAAGUUGGAAGUGAAAUCCUAUGGCUUAACCAUAGAACUGCUUCCAAAACUGAAUACCUAGAGUAUGGGAGAGGUAGAUGGAAUUUCUGGUGUAGGGGUAAAAUCCGUAGAGAUCAGAAGGAAUACCGAUUGCGAAGGCGAUCUACUGGAACAUUACUGACGCU
Molecule: ribosomal RNA, 692 nt
Filed under: uncultured bacterium
Lineage: Bacteria
Description: bacterial SSU rRNA
Rfam family: Bacterial small subunit ribosomal RNA
Source: RNAcentral